GACGAACGCUGGCGGCGUGCUUAACACAUGCAAGUUGAACGGAAAGGCCCUGCUUUUGUGGGGUGCUCGAGUGGCGAACGGGUGAGUAACACGUGAGUAACCUGCCCUUGACUUUGGGAUAACUUCAGGAAACUGGGGCUAAUACCGGAUAGGAGCUCCUGCUGCAUGGUGGGGGUUGGAAAGUUUCGGCGGUUGGGGAUGGACUCGCGGCUUAUCAGCUUGUUGGUGGGGUAGUGGCUUACCAAGGCUUUGACGGGUAGCCGGCCUGAUAGGGUGACCGGCCACAUUGGGACUGAGAUACGGCCCAGACUCCUACGGGAGGCAGCAGUGGGGAAUAUUGCACAAUGGGCGGAAGCCUGAUGCAGCAACGCCGCGUGCGGGAUGACGGCCUUCGGGUUGUAAACCGCUUUCGCCUGUGACGAAGCGUGAGUGACGGUAAUGGGUAAAGAAGCACCGGCUAACUACGUG
Molecule: ribosomal RNA, 468 nt
Filed under: uncultured bacterium
Lineage: Bacteria
Description: partial 16S ribosomal RNA
Rfam family: Bacterial small subunit ribosomal RNA
Source: RNAcentral